This is a long non-coding RNA of Brienomyrus brachyistius, 681 nucleotides long. RefSeq lists it as uncharacterized. The record is from RefSeq and is a predicted model, not a curated record. The transcript is spliced from 2 exons. NCBI's taxonomy places the organism in Eukaryota, Metazoa, Chordata, Actinopteri, Osteoglossiformes, Mormyridae.
CCGCGUUUGAUAAGGCUGAUAUUGAACGCAGAUGUUUCCCUGUGUGAAAAACAAGCAGUUUGCAUUUGUUUGGAUUAGCGGUGUCAGGGGAAGGUACGACCCAAAGGAGUGAAAGAGGAAGGACUUGUUUGGGGGUGAGAGGGAGGUGCAGGGUGACUGAAAACGAAGACACUUCUUUCAAAUAUCUUCAUGCAACAUUUUUCGCUCUAUGAUCUGCAGAAAUCAUAUCCCAGUUAGCGUUUAGCUUAGCUCCUGCACCCCUUCAUCAUUGUCCAUAAGUUUGGGGGGGGGGGGUUUAAUAUCUUCACUGUCAUGCCCCUUUUUGCCACAUCAAGCCGCAAAUGCCGCUGCAGGAGGCCCCCACAUCGCCGCCGAAUCCUCCUCCUAAGUCCUGUGACUGGACACGGACAAGGACAGCUAAUUCCGGCGAUGUCUUCCUGUUCUUAGAAUAAACACAUUUCAUAUCCUCUCUCAGAAGAGAGUGUCAUUGUCCCCAUCUGUGCUUUCUACUUUUAAACCAAACAAAAACAAAGGAAGUGAGCAGAAAUAUCACUAGACACUCUCCUGAUGAUUCCCUUAUAUAUGUAAAGAGACUUUGUAUAGUCAUUUGUACCUGUGGAAAUUAGACUAUAUUACUGUUUGUGCUGGUAAUAACAAAGCCAUAUUAAACAGUUCCUGAAA